UCGCGAGUUCCUCGUAACUUUACGAGGAAAUUACGAGGAUUACUAAUUUCAUAUAUGUACACGCGCGCUUCUCACCUCCAUUUCUUCUCCACUUCCUCUCUCUUUCGUAGCAAUGGUACGUACUCUCUCUAUUUCCUCUCUAAUUUGAUUAGUUUAGGGUAGAUUAGGUGGUUAGUGUAAGGAAUUUAGAUAGGUUUACGGAUUUUAUGUUAAUUAGUGUUGAUUAGGUGGUUAAUGUAGGGAAUUUAGCUAGAUUUAUAGAAUUUAUUAAUUAUAGAAUUUGUUAAUUACUGUUGAUGUUAAUUUUAAAAAUUAUUUUUUUAUCAGACGGUUCGAAAGAGCAAACUUAUUGCCCAUUACAGAGAGAUGUUUAGUGAGCCUGGUAGUCGUUUAGACCCGUCUUCUUCAGC
RNAcentral lists this long non-coding RNA (410 nucleotides) under Brassica napus (rape). RNAcentral's name for it is "long non-coding RNA (BNAP_LNC017060)". Lineage: Eukaryota; Viridiplantae; Streptophyta; Magnoliopsida; Brassicales; Brassicaceae. The record is from RNAcentral.